CCGGCGCACGGUGAGUAACGCGUAUGCAACUUGCCUAUCAGGAGGGGAGAACCGGCGAAAGUCGGACUAAUACCGCAUGAAGCAGGGGCCCCGCAUGGGGAUAUUGGCUAAAGAUUCAUCGCUGAUAGAUAGGCAUGCGUUCCAUUAGGCAGUUGGCGGGGUAACGGCCCACCAAACCGACGAUGGAUAGGGGUUCUGAGAGGAAGGUCCCCCACAUUGGUACUGAGACACGGACCAA
RNAcentral lists this ribosomal RNA (238 nucleotides) under uncultured bacterium. Its description in RNAcentral is "partial 16S ribosomal RNA". It matches the Rfam family "Bacterial small subunit ribosomal RNA", at positions 95 to 334 of the family's 1533-position model. The record is from RNAcentral.